This is a long non-coding RNA of Gambusia affinis (western mosquitofish), 797 nucleotides long. RefSeq lists it as uncharacterized. Lineage: Eukaryota; Metazoa; Chordata; Actinopteri; Cyprinodontiformes; Poeciliidae. The record is from RefSeq and is a predicted model, not a curated record. The transcript is spliced from 3 exons.
GAUAAUCAACACAAAACACAAGAGGCACAGCUGGUCGCUUCGACUCGUCGGAGACAGCAUCUCCAGAAAGCGUGUCGAGGCUCAUUCCCAACAAGAAGGAAAACAUCUGAUCGUCUUUCUCCAGAUUCACACCGAGACGAAGCAGCAACAGGAAACAAAAGGAGCGCGUUGGACGAGGUGACUCUCCUGACCUUGUAAGGCCUCCUUGGCGCGGUCCAGCUCCUGCUCCUUGUCACCCAGCUGGGCCCGGAGCUCGGUGGCAGACAGCAGCAGGUGGACCUCCUCCUGAAGCUGGACCACCUCCUCUCGCAGCAGCGCUGAGGAGAAAAACGAGCAGAGAUUUAAAAAACAGACACAGGAGAAAGAGUAAAAGGACCUGGGAAUACCAAGAAAAUCUGGUAUAUCUUUAAGAAGAUGCUUGUUAAAACCAAAAUAAAUGCUUGAUAAGGGUGCACCGAUUGAAGUUUUCUGGACGAAAUUUCCGAUCUUUAAAAAGCAGGACUUCCUGCCGAUUCAAAUUUUGGUCAAUACCAAGUUUUUUUUAUUUUUUUUUAUCAGAAAUGUUGCUAAAUACAGCAAGAAAGUUGCUGAGAUGGUAACUUUCUUGUUAUCAAGAGUUUCUGGGUGUUUGCAGCUGGUGAGCCGGUCUAUUGGUCAAACCUCUCUAACAAACGGGACAACGGUUGAUUUCUAGAUCUUUCCCAAGGUUGAGAUCGGCUUCACAAGUAUGAAUCGGCUGAUCACCAAUCUCCUGAACUCUGGACCGAUUUACUCAAUCUUUCAAAAACGUAAUCAUA